RNAcentral lists this ribosomal RNA (380 nucleotides) under uncultured bacterium. RNAcentral's name for it is "bacterial SSU rRNA". It matches the Rfam family "Bacterial small subunit ribosomal RNA", at positions 1170 to 1525 of the family's 1533-position model. The record is from RNAcentral.
AAGGUGGGAUGACGUCAAAUCAUCAUGCCCCUUAUGAUUUGGGCUACACACGUGCUACAAUGGCGUUAAACAAAGGGAAGCGAAAGGGUGACCUGGAGCAAAUCUCAGAAAUAACGUCUCAGUUCGGAUUGUAGUCUGCAACUUCGACUACCAUGAAGCUGGAACUCGCUAGUAAUCGCGAACUCAGGCUAUGUCGCGGUAGAAUAACGUUCCCGGGUACUUGUACCACACCGCCCGUCACACCAUGGGAGUUGAUAUGCCCGAAGUCGUGACCCGUAACCGGUAAGGGAGGGAGCCGCCGAAGGUCGGAGUCCUAAGUAACGUGGGGUAGAAGUCGUAACGUAAGGUAGUCCCGUAGUCGGAAGGUCGCGGCUGGAUCA